GACGAACGCUGGCGGCGUGCUUAACACAUGCAAGUCGAACGGAAAGGCCCUGCUUUUGUGGGGAGCUCGAGUGGCGAACGGGUGAGUCACAUGUGAGUAACCUGCCCUUGACUUUGGGAUCACUUCAGGAAACUGGGGCUAAUCACGGAUAGGAGCUCCUGCUGCAUGGUGGGGGUUGGACAGUUUCGGCGGUUGGGGAUGGACUCGUGGCUUAUCAGCUUGUUGGUGGGGUAGUGGCUUACCAAGGCUUUGACGGGUGGCCGCACUGAGGGGGUGACCGGCCACAGUGGGACAGAGAUACGGCACAGACUCCUACGGAAGACAGCAGUAGGGAAUAUUGCACAAUGGGCGGAAGCCGGAUGCAGCAACGCCGCGUGCGGGAUGACGGCCUGCGGGUUGUAAACCGCAUUCGCCUGUGACGAUGCGUGGGUGACGGUAAUGUGUAAAGAAGCACCGGCUAACUACGUG
RNAcentral lists this ribosomal RNA (468 nucleotides) under uncultured bacterium. Its description in RNAcentral is "partial 16S ribosomal RNA". It matches the Rfam family "Bacterial small subunit ribosomal RNA", at positions 28 to 507 of the family's 1533-position model. The record is from RNAcentral.